RNAcentral lists this ribosomal RNA (351 nucleotides) under Triticum aestivum (bread wheat). Its description in RNAcentral is "partial small subunit ribosomal RNA". Lineage: Eukaryota; Viridiplantae; Streptophyta; Magnoliopsida; Poales; Poaceae. The record is from RNAcentral.
AUGGCGAGGGCGGCCACGUCGUGCGCGCGCGCCGCCAUCUCCGCGGUGGCGAAGGUGCCGAGCCAGAUGCGCGACUUCUUGCGGGGCUCCCGAAUCUCCGACACCCACUUGCCCCAGCUCCGCAUGCGCACCCCGCGGUACGUCGGGUGCCGCCCGUCGUUGCGCGGCCGCUUCUUCUUGGACGACGCGGUGGUGGCCGUCGGGGACGGCGGCGCGGCCAGGGCCUCCGCCGAGGACGACGUGGUGGUCUCGGAGCCGGAGGAGGAAUCCUCCGUGGCGCCCAUGGCUGAUGAUACUGUGGUGGUGGAGUUAGUUGUUGGGGGAGUGAUGAGCGAGAGCGUGAGGAGGUGA